Molecule: ribosomal RNA, 253 nt
Filed under: uncultured bacterium
Lineage: Bacteria
Description: partial 16S ribosomal RNA
Rfam family: Bacterial small subunit ribosomal RNA
Source: RNAcentral
UACGUAGGGGGCGAGCGUUGUCCGGAUUUACUGGGCGUAAAGGGCGCGUAGGCGGCGUGACAAGUCACUUGUGAAAUCUCUGGGCUUAACCCAGAACGGCCAAGUGAAACUGUUGUGCUAGAGUGCAGAAGGGGCAAUCGGAAUUCUCGGUGUAGCGGUGAAAUGCGUAGAUAUCGAGAGGAACACCAGAGGUGAAGACGGGUUGCUGGGCUGACACUGACGCUGAGGCGCGAAAGCCAGGGGAGCAAACGGG